RNAcentral lists this ribosomal RNA (179 nucleotides) under Heliconia robertoi. Its description in RNAcentral is "partial 26S ribosomal RNA". It matches the Rfam family "Eukaryotic large subunit ribosomal RNA", at positions 11 to 188 of the family's 3401-position model. Lineage: Eukaryota; Viridiplantae; Streptophyta; Magnoliopsida; Zingiberales; Heliconiaceae. The record is from RNAcentral.
GUCAGGCGGGGCCACCCGCCGAGUUUAAGCAUAUAAAUAAGCGGAGGAGAAGAAACUUACGAGGAUUCCCCUAGUAACGGCGAGCGAACCGGGAUCAGCCCAGCUUGAGAAUCGGGCGGCCGCGCCGUCCGAAUUGUAGUCUGGAGAAGCGUCCUCAGCGACGGACCGGGCCCAAGUCC